UGGGGAAUAUUGGACAAUGGGCGCAAGCCUGAUCCAGCCAUGCCGCGUGAGUGACGAAGGUCUUCGGAUUGUAAAGCUCUUUUGGCGGGGAAGCGGUACCCGCAGAAUAAGCCCCGGCUAACUUCGUGCCAGCAGCCGCGGUAAUACGAAGGGGGCUAGCGUUGUUCGGAAUCACUGGGCGUAAAGCGCACGUAGGCGGAUGUGUCAGUCAGGGGUGAAAUCCCGGAGCUCAACUUCGGAACUGCCUCUGAUACAGCACGUCUUGAGUCCGGAAGAGGUGGGUGGAAUUCCUAGUGUAGAGGUGAAAUUCGUAGAUAUUAGGAAGAACACCGGUGGCGAAGGCGGCCCACUGGUCCGGUACUGACGCUGAGGUGCGAAAGCGUGGGGAGCAAACAGGAUUAGAUACCCCAGUAGU
This 415-nucleotide ribosomal RNA is filed under the name uncultured bacterium. Its description in RNAcentral is "bacterial SSU rRNA". It matches the Rfam family "Bacterial small subunit ribosomal RNA", at positions 355 to 794 of the family's 1533-position model. The record is from RNAcentral.